UGCCAGCCGCCGCGGUAAUACGAGGGCCUCGAACGUUGUCCGGAUUCAUUGGGCGUAAAGCGUCCGCAGGUGGUUUGGUAAGUGAGUUGUUAAAUCCCGAGGCUUAACCUCGGAACUGCCUUCAAUACUGUCAGUCUUGAGAUCGGAAGAGGUGAGUGGAAUUCCUAGUGUAGAGGUGAAAUUCGUAGAUAUUAGGAAGAACACCAGUGGCGAAGGCGGCUCACUGGUCCGAUACUGACGCUGAGGUGCGAAAGCGUGGGGAGCGAACAGGAUUAGAUA
This 279-nucleotide ribosomal RNA is filed under the name uncultured bacterium. RNAcentral's name for it is "partial 16S ribosomal RNA". It matches the Rfam family "Bacterial small subunit ribosomal RNA", at positions 506 to 784 of the family's 1533-position model. The record is from RNAcentral.